This 828-nucleotide ribosomal RNA is filed under the name uncultured Haemophilus sp. RNAcentral describes it as "bacterial SSU rRNA". It matches the Rfam family "Bacterial small subunit ribosomal RNA", at positions 28 to 847 of the family's 1533-position model. Lineage: Bacteria; Pseudomonadati; Pseudomonadota; Gammaproteobacteria; Pasteurellales; Pasteurellaceae. The record is from RNAcentral.
AUUGAACGCUGGCGGCAGGCUUAACACAUGCAAGUCGAACGGUAGCAGGAGAAAGCUUGCUUUCUUGCUGACGAGUGGCGGACGGGUGAGUAAUGCUUGGGAAUCUGGCUUAUGGAGGGGGAUAACGACGGGAAACUGUCGCUAAUACCGCGUAUUAUCGGAAGAUGAAAGUGCGGGACUGAGAGGCCGCAUGCCAUAGGAUGAGCCCAAGUGGGAUUAGGUAGUUGGUGGGGUAAAGGCCUACCAAGCCUGCGAUCUCUAGCUGGUCUGAGAGGAUGACCAGCCACACUGGAACUGAGACACGGUCCAGACUCCUACGGGAGGCAGCAGUGGGGAAUAUUGCGCAAUGGGGGGAACCCUGACGCAGCCAUGCCGCGUGAAUGAAGAAGGCCUUCGGGUUGUAAAGUUCUUUCGGUAUUGAGGAAGGUUGAUGUGUUAAUAGCACAUCAAAUUGACGUUAAAUACAGAAGAAGCACCGGCUAACUCCGUGCCAGCAGCCGCGGUAAUACGGAGGGUGCGAGCGUUAAUCGGAAUAACUGGGCGUAAAGGGCACGCAGGCGGUUAUUUAAGUGAGGUGUGAAAGCCCUGGGCUUAACCUAGGAAUUGCAUUUCAGACUGGGUAACUAGAGUACUUUAGGGAGGGGUAGAAUUCCACGUGUAGCGGUGAAAUGCGUAGAGAUGUGGAGGAAUACCGAAGGCGAAGGCAGCCCCUUGGGAAUGUACUGACGCUCAUGUGCGAAAGCGUGGGGAGCAAACAGGAUUAGAUACCCUGGUAGUCCACGCUGUAAACGCUGUCGAUUUGGGGAUUGGGCUUAGAGCUUGGUGCCC